UGGGUAUCAGCCUUGCAGCUCGGGACAAAUUAAAAUGCACACUUAAGUCUGUUACUAAAGACUCAACUAUACCUUACUCUAACAGUUCACAGAGUUCACCUGACUGCAUAACUAAAAAGCCUGAUGCAUGUCUUCAGGCAAUAACCUUGAUUUAAACACUAGAACAGUCUUCCUUUCUCAGCAGUGAUCAUGGGCUAUAAUUGAACUAAGGGGCGUGCAUCACCAAUAUUGUCUGUUAAAAACACUCAGUAGCACAUUUAAGUUAAAUGCCCACAGAUGGUACAGACCCUUUCAACAUGAGGAGGUUUGAUUACGUUAGAGGAUCCUGAAAAAGCUUUAGGAUAUAGCUCAAACAUGUUGUUUUUCACACCUGGAUAAUUACUCUUGUGACCAGCCAGACCUGUCUAUAGCUGUGCCUUCUCCCCAGAGCGUCAAAGUUGUGUCAUUCUCUUGGUUAUGGCUUGCCUUUAUCUUUAUGUAAUGACUGACAUGUUAUAAGCUAAAGAAAUUAUGUUCAUUAGUGCUUAAAAAGCUGGACUCUUUAGUGUUACACAAAGCACUUACACAAAAAUUGUAUAAGUAAAAAAAAACAUGCAACGACAUGUGAAGUAAACUGGAAGAAAAUGCCCCUCCCUCCUCCUAAUACUAUACCUAUAUAUUCACUCCUCCAGUGAGACUGCCAUUAAGACUGUCACUAUCUCCUUUCACACUUUCAGUUGUUACUUUUAAGAAUGGGAAAGGUUCAUGUUAGAGACAACGCUGCAAAAGAAAAGAAAACCGAGUUUAGGUUAGUACGAGUCAAAGACACCUGGAAGCGGAAGCUGGGGAAGAAGGUCAAUAAAAACAAAGUGGACUGUGUCUCUGCUGCAAAAAUCUUUGAAACUUCCACCGUGAAGGACACCACGUGGACAGUGAUCAGCCCCAUUACCUUCACUUACAAGGUAACUGAGACUCGAGGCUUGCUGGACCCGAACAGCGACACCCUGCUGCUGGGGCACAUCACCGACCCACAGCAUCUGGAGGAAAUCAAAGCGUUGAACAAGCCACUCAAGCGCUUCGUGGUCGUUGACCAAGAAGUCUACAAAAUCUAUGGGGCCAAGAUAACAGAGUACCUAGAGUUCCACAAUGUCCUGUACAAGAUCCUGGCUCUGCCCACGACUGAGGAGAACAAGUCGAUGGAAGUGGCCUUGACUAUCCUUGAAGAAGUGAACAACUUCUGCCUCGACCGCCGCACGGAGCCCAUCAUUGCCAUUGGUGGAGGGGUCUGUCUGGACAUCGUGGGCCUGGCUGCCUCUCUCUACAGGAGACGCACCCCUUACAUCAGAGUCCCCACAACGCUGUUGUCCUACAUCGACGCGAGCGUGGGCGCAAAGACGGGGGUCAACUUUGCAAACUGCAAGAAUAAGCUGGGCACCUACAUUCCACCCACCGCUGCUUUCCUCGACCUGUCCUUCAUACAAACUCUUCCCCGACGCCACAUCUGCAAUGGUGUGGCUGAGAUGCUGAAGAUGGCCUUGAUGAAACACAGAGGCCUCUUUGAGCUCCUUGACAAACAUGGCAGAAUGCUCUUGGAAACUAAAUUCCAGGAUGCUGGAAGUAUUUAUGGGCAAAGCAGUUUCCAGGCUGCGUCACGAGCAACUCGCAUAGCCAUCACAACCAUGCUGGAGGAGCUUGCCCCUAACCUCUGGGAAGACGACCUAAACAGGCUUGUGGACUUCGGCCACCUUAUUAGUCCAGCGUUAGAGAUGGUACAAACUUACUCAAGUUUGUAUUUAGUUGUUUAUAUGAUAAAUACCUUAUUACAAUAAUAAUACAUUUAAUGCAUUGUAAGUCUGCCACAGUACUGAGAUACAGUAAAACUGGUAACACUGUUUUGGUUCUUCUCACUUUUCUUUGCCAUACAGAAAGUCCUGCCAUCACUGCUGCACGGUGAGGCAGUGAACAUCGACAUGUCGUACAUGGUUUAUGUAGCUCAGGAGUGCGGCCUGUUGUCAGAAGAUGAGAAACAAAGGAUCAUCCGCUGCAUGGUCGGCCUGGAGCUGCCCGUGUGGCAUGAGGAGGUCACCAUGGAGCUCAUACAGAAGUCCCUGCAAGACAGGCUGAAGCACUCUGGGGGCCUGGUUCGAAUGCCGCUGCCUGUGGGUCUUGGUCAAGCAGGUAAUGAUGAAUACAGUAGGACUGUCUUCACCAAGAAGACUACUUGGUCCAAACAGCCUAAAACUCAAUCUUUAGCAAAUAUGUCGUAAUGAUUGACUGUAUAUUCAUUCAGAUUAGACAGCAGAACAGUUCAUUGUGUAUUGUAGAUACUCUAGUACAGUAAUAACCACAGUGCCAAAUUGUAUUGUAGUUGAAGUCAGAGACUCUUAUUGUGAAGAUGAGCUGUAUCUGGGGGAGAACACAGUGUGUGUUAGGCUAGGCUGGUUAGCAGGUUAUUAGCAUACAGUAAUAGACUAGCGAUUAAUUAAUUAUCAAAUUGGUAUUAUCCUUAUCCAGUGUUCUGUUAUAUACUGUAUACACAUGUUAAUGUUCACUCUUUGCUCUCCUUGCUCUCUUCACAGAAAUCUUUAAUACCACAUCUUACGAGAUCCUGCACAGAGCUCAUGAGAAGUGGUGUGGGGAGCUGAGCAUGUCUUCUCACAGCAGCUGUGACCCUUAACUGUAUCAGUUGAACUUUAGAGAAUAUUUUUCAUUUUGAAGGGAAUUGUGUGUUGUAUAUUUUAGUUGUUUAUAAUGUUGGGAAGAAUAGUACUGACUUAUAUUACUGUGUAUUAUGGCAACAAAAUCUAAAUGAUUUGUCUAAAAAUUUCAAUAGGUUGGAAAUUUUUUCAUAUCACAAACAUAUUUACAUACAUUUUUGUUAACAGUUCAAAACAAGUGGUUUUAUAAUUGUCACCAAAUGAUUCAUCAGCUUUCUAACUGUUUGCUACUUGACUGUGAACAUACAGUAUAAGCUUCAAUAAAUGUUUUUGUGUUUAUGAAAGAGUGUGCA
RNAcentral lists this long non-coding RNA (2989 nucleotides) under Betta splendens (Siamese fighting fish). RNAcentral's name for it is "lncRNA (ENSBSLG00000020736.1)". The record is from RNAcentral. Lineage: Eukaryota; Metazoa; Chordata; Actinopteri; Anabantiformes; Osphronemidae.